UUGGAAGGGGUGUAUUUAUUAGAUAAAAAACCAAUGCCCUUCGGGGCUCCUUGGUGAUUCAUAAUAACUUAACAAAUCGCAUGGCCUUGCGCCGGCGAUGGUUCAUUCAAAUUUCUGCCCUAUCAACUUUCGAUGGUAGGAUAGUGGCCUACCAUGGUCUUAACGGGUAACGGGGAAUUAUGGGUUCGAUUCCGGAGAGGGAGCCUGAGAAACGGCUACCACAUCCAAGGAAGGCAGCAGGCGCGCAAAUUACCCAAUCCCGACACGGGGAGGUAGUGACAAUAAAUACUGAUACGGGGCUCUUUCGGGUCUCGUAAUUGGAAUGAGUACAAUCUAAAUCCCUUAACGAGGAACAAUUGGAGGGCAAGUCUGGUGCCAGCAGCCGCGGUAAUUCCAGCUCCAAUAGCGUAUAUUAAAGUUGUUGCCGUUAAAAAGCUCGUAGUUGAACCUUGGACCUGGCUGAUCUGUCCUCCUAAUCGAGCGCACGGAUUCGGUCGGGUCUUUCCUCCUGGGGAGCCUCAUGCCCUUCGCUGGGUGUGCUGGGGAACCAGGACUUUUAC
This 560-nucleotide ribosomal RNA is filed under the name uncultured fungus. Its description in RNAcentral is "SSU rRNA". It matches the Rfam family "Eukaryotic small subunit ribosomal RNA", at positions 192 to 755 of the family's 1831-position model. Lineage: Eukaryota; Fungi. The record is from RNAcentral.